Molecule: non-coding RNA, 1296 nt
Organism: Nylanderia fulva
Lineage: Eukaryota; Metazoa; Arthropoda; Insecta; Hymenoptera; Formicidae
Source: RefSeq, a predicted model, not a curated record
CUUAUAUCUUUAAAGUUAUAUUUAUAUUACAGAGCCUUGUUAAAACUCUUAGUUAAUAGAUUAGAUUUUUCUGUAAAUAAUAAUAUUUAUUACUGAGGAAUAAAUGUAAAAGGAACUCUAUAGAUGUCAGUGUUGUAUAUCAUAGUCAUUGUUUUCGGUGGUAGAGUCACUUGUGUAAGGGAGGGGUAAGGCCUACGGCACGUCGCAUGUUGCAGUCGUCAUUACAGUUUGGACUAGCGUCGAGUUCAGUGGUGUUAUUCUUUAAUGAGAAAAGAAACAUGUGGAGAUAUAAAAAAAAGGUCGGAAUUUUAAACAUUCUUUAUUAUCCGCCAAUCGAGGAUAGCGAUGAAAAAAGGAGGAGAAUUACCGUGAAGGUACAUCUGCCGUACGCGGAAGGUUCAGUAACGCAAAUAGACAAUUUCAUGAGUAUUUCGCAUAAGUUGCAAAAGGUAGAGGAUCGCAAAAAAUGGAGGAAGGAGAUCGAGACGGUGUGGGAGAAUCGGGAGGAGGGUUCUUUCAAUUUGGAGGAACUCUUUGAGCUGGAGCUCCCGAAAGAUACUUUUAAGGAGGUGGAAGAGUCUUGGGUGUCUGUGGUGAGCAGACAUGGGGAUCUGUGGAAGUUUGGAUCUCUCGUUCUCCCGAACCACCCUUGAAAUCCUAAUGCCAGUUGGUGCGAAGAUCAUCUCAGAUGUGGACGUCCGAGGGUUCGUUAACAUGAGGAGAGGACGCGAGAUCCGUUGGGCUAGGAUUAGAUCGAGGAGAGCGAUGGAAGCUUUGUGGGAGAGUCGAGGCGAAGACAUCUUUAGUUUAGGGUGAUUGUUCAAACAGAGCGUUUCUCGCAAGAGGUACCAAGCUCUUUUGGUCGCUCUGCGUAACUCCUCUCCCCGGCUCUAUCAGACCGCUCCCUUGAUCAAAAGUCCGGUCCAUCGUCGGGUCCUUCGCCAGCUUGAUCGUCGGACCAAUCGUCAGGCUAAUCCUCCGACUAAUCGGGAGACAAGUCAUCCUGCAACCGCCAUUGUUCUACCAAUGUGUCCACUCUGUGGGCGGAAGAGGUUGGAGGUGUAAAGAGAUGACAGAAAUCGGGAUGGGGUGAGAGGAUCGGCUCUAGGAGAUGGCAACGCGUCUCUUACAUGGGGCGAUUGAAUUAGAGGGGCGACUGAACAUACAAGACCGGUACUACUGUGGAACUGUCCUCGAGAAAGGCCCUCCUUGUAAAAUAAUAAGAAAAAUCUAUAGUUUUAUAAAUAUUUACAUGAAAUACUUGAGUCUAAAUAAACGAUUUUCUCACCAUAUUAA